CAGAUGAUCGAUCACUGUCUCUUUGUUCCUUGGUGUAUGCCAGGUGCCUCAGAACAAUGCCUGGCACAUAAUAGGAGCUCUGUAUUUUAGCUAUUAAGGACCCCGAAUGAAUUCUGAAGAUUAUAUUCUAAGGAUGCUUUGUGGUAUGGUAAGCAACUUGAUUGGCUAUGAAAAAUGAUGGGAAGUUGUAACACAUGCUGAGAAUCCUACAGCAUUGUCUUGAUAAAGAUGGUGAACAAGCAUGGAUACCUUCUGGUAAAUACCACACCUUGGCAGAGAGAGUGCAAACUCAGAGAAGAAAGGACCACAGACAAAAGGUAGAGGAAGAAUGUAUAUCAGAAGACAAAAUAUCUCAUAAACAGAAGACAAAUUUUGACUCCGUUCUUCAUGGUCUCCAAGGAAGAAUAAUAGCUGGGUUUUCUACAAAACAAACAAACAAAAAGUUUAAAGAAAAGAUACCUAGGGUGAAAGAAGACAGAAGAGAGAGAAAAGCUGAGCCAAUCAAUCAUGGUUAAGAGAUGAGAGAGAAAAAUAAAACCAUUUUAAAGAUGAAAGCCACAUGAGAAGCCACAAACAAUAAUAAACACAAGUAAAAACAAGGGAUAUACCAGUCAGAUUUGAGAGCCUCCUACAAAAAAAAAAUAAUCUGAUAGAAAUGAUUUCUCUGAAGAGGAUGCAUUGAAAGACAAAAGAUUAUCACGUAUUUGCUUGGUUUUUUGAAAGUAAGAGAGUAAGAGAUGGGAACAAAAAGUAUUCAAAGGCAUAGUAGAAGAUGAUGUUACUGAUAAAGAAAGAUUGUUAUGUGGAAGUUGGAAGGGCACACUGUUUACUAGAAAAAAACCUCUAGGAAGUAGGAAUUAGACAAAAUAUAUUGCUGAGUGGUCAAGGGCGCUAAGGGAAGCAGGACUGGGGAGUCCACUGGUGUUGGCAAUAGGGUCACUGCUGGCUGUUGUGAAAGCUGUACGAGGAGGACAGUAGGGCAGACGCUGGAAUAAACUGGGUAGAGAAGUGAGUCGAGGUGAGGAGGUGAAAAGAGCAUAGACAAAUCAUCUAAGAAAUUUCAUCAUGAAGGAAACGAAGGGUUAUGGAUGUACCUACAGAGGGACAUGAGAUUUAGAGAGGGUAUGUUUUUAAGAUGGGAGAAACUUGCACGUACUUAAACAUUCUUAGAAGACAGAGGAAAGCAGUGCUCAGCUUUAUCUGUGCACCGGAGGCACCUGGAAUCUUCUAAAAAACACAUUUUUUUUUCCCUUAAAAACAUGAUGUUGGGCCCCACCCACAAAGGCUCCCCUGCCAUUGGUAAUGGAUGUGGUUGGUGCUGGGAUUUUUAAAAGCUGCCCAGAUGAUUCUAAGGACUGGCUGAAUUUGAAAACCAUUUUCAGGAAAGUUGAAACCGCAUCCCAAGAAGAUGAGUGGUAAACUGAUCCUACGCUUGAUGGAGGGAUUAUCCCAAAAUUAGAGUAGGAUUUCCUCUUCCAUUGUGGCUGCAGGAAGUGGUGGGAACACUUUCAGACAGAUGGGAGCUAAAGGGAUUUCUGCUCUGGCUUCUGUUUUCUCUGUGAAGGUGCAGAAGGUAGAAGAAUGUGCUGGGAGGAAGAUGGGAAGGUCUGGAGAGGAGGAGCAAAUGUGCAGCAGUUUUAUGGGGAAUGAAGGAGAACACCAGGGAGGAACCCAGAGGCUGGGCGGGCAGUGUUGAGAGGCUGAAGUUCAAGGUCAUAGUUUCAUAGAGGCAGUUCCUUGUCCUUCCUAGGUGUAAAUAAAGCAUGACACAAAUGAGAGAGCAGUCAGUUUUCCAGUGAAGAGUAGAGAAGUUAGUUACUCCUGAGGUACUCUAAUUUUGUCCAUAAGACAGAGAAUCGACGCUGGUGGAAGUAAAAUAAAUAAAAAUAACCCAUUAGAUUAAAUUCUGUCUUAAUCUCCUUUGGCGAGGCUCUGCAUUGUUUCUGUGAAUACUGCAGAAAUGAAGCCAGACACUAUCAUUUUGCUCAGUUAAAUGGAAAGAAAUGACUUUUAGUCCUACUGGUUCAAAAACACAAGUAGUAAGUGCUCAAGGCCCUAACUCUUUCCCUAGGGUGACGUGUAUGUUCUAGAACUAGUAUGAGGUUUGCAGUAGAGAGCGUGUUGGCACCAUAGUAAUUAAGUGUUGAAACAAUGUGUGCACUCAGGCUGCAUCUAGAAAUAUAUUUUAGUCAACUUGGCAGGAGACAUAAACUCAAUCAGUUUUAAUAAAACAAUCCUGCUUUGUAAAUAUCACAAAUAGAAAGUUACUCUUUUUGUUAGGUCUUGCUGGCAGGGUCCUGGGAGUAGAGAUUUUAGUUUUUUAGCUUCAGGCCUCCGUUCUUUUAGUGCCUUUUCAGUUGCACAGAUAGUUUGCAUUUUAAAUCAUCUCACAUAACUUGCCAGAAGCUGUCCUUGAUGCUGAGGACAUUGUGACAUUUUCAAGGAAGGCUGAAAAGCCCUGGAUGCAAGAGAGCCCUCAUCCAUGGGGCACACCGAAAGCACACCAGAGCUGACUUCCACGAAGAGCCCAUGCAGAGACUGUGCAGUGAGAAGAAAAUAAAUACAUGCAUAAAAAUUAAAUCCAACCCACACAGCCUGAAACGUCUCUGGAUGUUUACUGAUGUCACAACUUCUUUUCAUUCCAGUGGCGAGGACAAAAUGAACAUUGAUUGUUGCUUGAGGAUCCCUGGGUGGCGCAGCGGUUUGGCGCCUGCCUUUGGCCCAGGGCGCGAUCCUGGAGACCCGGGAUCGAAUCCCACGUCGGGCUCCCUGCAUGGAGCCUGCUUCUCCCUCUGCCUAUGUCUCUGCCUCUCUCUCUCUCUGUGACUAUCAUAAAUAAAUAAAAAUUAAAAAAAAAUUUUUUUUGAUUGUUGCUUGAACAUGUUUUCAGAGCAAUUUCCUGAUCCUCUUAUCACUUGGUAAAGAAUACGGGUACUGUGUACCCCAUGUCUGACCCUUCUCCACACACUGACUUUUGCAGAUAACUAGCAUGACACAAAACUUGGCGGGUGAUGGAAAAAAAAUUGUUUACUCUCACAUUCACUACAUUUUUUUAAAUUGUGAAAUUAACUGUGGCA
Molecule: long non-coding RNA, 3077 nt
Organism: Canis lupus familiaris (dog)
Lineage: Eukaryota; Metazoa; Chordata; Mammalia; Carnivora; Canidae
Exons: 3
Source: RefSeq, a predicted model, not a curated record